Long non-coding RNA from Ostrinia nubilalis (European corn borer), 534 nucleotides. RefSeq lists it as uncharacterized. NCBI's taxonomy places the organism in Eukaryota, Metazoa, Arthropoda, Insecta, Lepidoptera, Crambidae. The transcript has 3 exons. The record is from RefSeq and is a predicted model, not a curated record.
UUGACUAUGCAAAAUCAGAGUGUUGAAUAGUGCUCUGUGAUUGGUUCGCUUAUGUUACGCACUUCACUCCGCUAACUGACAUUCCUGUCAUUCAAACGGUGCAACGGUUUUUAUGUGUCGUUAAUUUGUGGAUUUAUGAAUUAAAUAAAUAUGGAUAAAACUACAACUAUCAGAUCAAAAAAGCUGCCGUUUUCUUCUUCCGAAAGAGAGCUGCUGAUUGUAGCUAUAAUUUAAGAGAACGGCCUAUUAUUGAAGACAAGCAUACCUUUUAUUAUCCUCUCUAAAAUAUCGAGUUGAAUAAGCAGGCCAGGGAAAAUUAACAGUGACUUACAAUUCUCAACCAUAUUUAUGUUUCACAAAGGCUCACACAUCAACUGCAAACCUGCUGGAAUAAUUUAAAGACCCAAAGAAAGAAAGAACUUUCUCAGGAAUCAAUCAAACGUUCUCAACACCCAAUAGUAUCAAGAAAUUAAGAUUAGUAGUAGCAAGAAUGAAGAUUAAGACAGAAACAAGAAUCAAACGCACCACAUUGAA